Molecule: transfer RNA, 76 nt
Filed under: Halieaceae bacterium
Lineage: Bacteria; Pseudomonadati; Pseudomonadota; Gammaproteobacteria; Cellvibrionales; Halieaceae
Also listed under: 3 other names
Description: tRNA-His
Rfam family: tRNA
About the family: Transfer RNA (tRNA) molecules are approximately 80 nucleotides in length. Their secondary structure includes four short double-helical elements and three loops (D, anti-codon, and T loops). Further hydrogen bonds mediate the characteristic L-shaped molecular structure. tRNAs have two regions of fundamental functional importance: the anti-codon, which is responsible for specific mRNA codon recognition, and the 3' end, to which the tRNAs corresponding amino acid is attached (by aminoacyl-tRNA synthetases). tRNAs cope with the degeneracy of the genetic code in two manners: having more than one tRNA (with a specific anti-codon) for a particular amino acid; and 'wobble' base-pairing, i.e. permitting non-standard base-pairing at the 3rd anti-codon position.
Source: RNAcentral
GUGGCUGUAGCUCAGUUGGUAGAGCGCCGGACUGUGACUCCGGUUGUCGCGGGUUCGAUCCCCGUCAGCCACCCCA